This is a long non-coding RNA of Rosa chinensis, 3276 nucleotides long. RefSeq lists it as uncharacterized. The record is from RefSeq and is a predicted model, not a curated record. The transcript has 7 exons. NCBI's taxonomy places the organism in Eukaryota, Viridiplantae, Streptophyta, Magnoliopsida, Rosales, Rosaceae.
AAAAAACGAGAAGCGGGACUAUGAAAACCCAAAUGACCGAAGGCGGGGAGGAAGGCGCCAAUUCAAAAGGAAAAAAAAAAUUAAAGAUAAAACCUAAGGAAACAGAAAUCUAUCUUUUUCGCACUUCUCUAUCUCUGACGGCGUUCUACGAAAGCUCUGUCUCUAAGGCUCCUCUGAAUCUCUCAUCUUUGAAGUUCUCAUCUCUGCUAGGUUAUUCGUUGCUCUUCCAAUUAUUGAAAUUUUUGGAUUCGAUACAGCUCGAUUGAUCAAAGCGCCAACCAUCGCAUUUUUUGCUCUGUUAAACAACAGGUCAAUUGCACUGCACUUGACAAAGUUUAAAGUUUCUGUUUGGGAUUUCACCCUCUGAUAGGCCUGUGUGGCAACAAUUCAUUAUUUGCUCUUCUGGGUUGUUCUUUGGUUACCUUGUCAAUUGCGUCUGUGAGGUUUGUUUCCAAUUCAAUUUGAUCAUUUUGAAUUAUGUUCAAAUGUUUCUUCAUUCUCAGAUAUGAUUAAUUGUUCGUUGUGAACAUUUUCUCAAUUUUCCUUUGUUGUUGUUCUUAGUUUCAUUUUUCACUGUUUGAUUGGUGAAAAUUCAGUAGGAGAAAUUGGAUUGGAAUAAUGAGUAUGCUGCAUUCUAUUCCAAAUAGUUGUGUGGUGACUUUGCUGUUUAUAAAAAAUCUUAAGGUCAUGAACUUUUCUCAGCUACCUAAACAGAGUUUUGGGACACUGUUUAGGUAAAAAUGGGUUUUCCUUGCCAUGUUUUUGUUUUCCAAUAUCAAAUCAGCUUUUCUUAGUUGUCAUGUUUGUAUGCUCUUCUAUCUUUGGUUCAGUUCUCCUUUCAUUGAUUUUUCUUUGUCACAAACAGAGUUUAGAAUAACGUUUUGGUGAAAUAUGCACGCUUUAUACUGUCAGUACAUCUAUGAUUGUUUUAUCAUCUCUGUUUUUGGCCUAACAUUACGUUUUUGUUCUGCUUGAUCACAAAUAUUGUUAAUGCUCUUCAUUUUUUUUCUUUGUCUAAGCCAAGGGUAAUGUCUUGGUCCCCCUGACUUAUUUUACUUGAACUUCUAUCAGUUCCAUUGGAGAUUCUUGAUAUUAAUUAGUAAUUUCUCACUGUGUAACCUGCUAGUUUUCCGAAAAGAAGGAAGAGGAAAUCAAUUCUGGGAUUGUAAAUUUCAUUGAUAGAGGUCGUUGUGUAUCAAAACGUAAAUACUGAUGCUUUAUUCUUUUAUAGUAAUCUGAAUGUGGGCUGUUUGUUUUAAUUUUUUUUCGAAAAGAGACGCUGGUAUGUCUUGAAAAAUGGAGAUCUUGCAUUUUUUUUUUUUGGAUGACAAUUGCUAGAUACUAGGUUUAAAGUGCUUGUUUGUUAAGAUGCGCCGUUCUAAUGUGUCUAACAUCCAAAAGCCUACUACUGAUACAUAUUGUAUUUUGUUUUUUUAUAAGUUUAUAAUUCAUUUAGCUGAUUGAUUAAUUAAUAAUUUAAUUUAACAUGUAUGUAUAACAACAAGAAAUGCACCGAGUAAACGCUCUCAUGUGCAAACUACUGAUCAGCCAUGCCCAAAUGGAUCCCGUUCUACUUCAGGUAGUGCAAUGAGUAAACACUUUCGUGUGCAAACAACUGACCAGCCAUGCGAAAAUUCUGUAGAAGAUAGACUCAAUUCUGCUAUUGGUACCACUACAGAACGAAUUACUACUGGUAAGUAGUAUUGCAGUCUUCUUGAAUUCAAUUUUUGUCACUUUAAUUAUUUAUGUACUAAGAAGUAUAGGGAAAAGAGAGCGAAAUGCAAUUUUGUUUUCAUGAAUUGCAAAUUAGAAGGGUAUACCUAAAUUAUAUGUAUAAUGAUAGGGGUCAGAAUUAGUUCACGUCUUCAGCAUCAAACUGCUAAUGAUCAGCUAUUGAUAAAUGUUACAACUGCAUGUAGAGCGAAAUGAUAAUGUGAUGUCAGCCAGUAAUCAAGACCCUCCUACAUGUAUAUACAAUAUUAUAUAUAUAUCGUUAUAUUUUGAGAACUAAAUAUAUUUGUGUACAUUAAUUAAGAAUUAUGUUAAAGGUCCAACAAAAAAGGUUGGGGGAAAGACAAGAGGAGUGAAUGCAGAUAAGAUGCUUUCUCAAUUGAAUGCUAAAAUACAUGUCACUCUGACCAAACAAAAUGGUAGGCCUACAGGCCCAUAUGCUGAAAUGUUGGCCAAUGAAAUUGGUUUCACAGUUCGAAACCAUGCCCCACUAAAUGUGGAAAAAUGGAAGAAGAUUCCGAAAAUUGAAGUGAAUAAGUUGGUUAAAAGAAUAACGGUGAGUGAUGAUUUGUUUUUCUAAAAUGUAAGUUUACAUUGAUUGCUUUAAUCAAAUAUUUUGUUUGACAUAAAAUUAUUUAUAUGCAAAAAAAGUUUGACAUUGACAUGUCUCUCCCUUGGGUCGAGAGAUAUGUAAUUACAACAUGUCAGACUGUAUUUUGUAAUUUUCGUUAUAAGUUGAAGAAACAUUUUGAGAAAUUUUCAACAAUCGAGGAAGCAAUUGAAAACAAAUACAAUGAUGUCAAGACUCAGGAAGAAUGAGAGUUUCUCUGUGCUCGUUUUUCUAGUGAAAAGUUUCAGAUUCGUUCAGAGAAGAAUGCUAUAAAUAGGUCAAAGUUGACACAUCACUACAAAUCUGGGUCAAAGUCCUCUAUGUCUCACCAAGAGCAAAUUGCAGCACAGACUGGAGAGAGGCAAGGUGCAAUUGAUCGCUUUGAAACAGAGUACAAAAGCACUAAAAAAGGUUGGGACUUGGGAGCAGAAGCAAAGUGGGAUGAAAUGAUUAAGAUGUGAACUGAGACAACUCAACCUGAUGGAACUUGGACAAUGACAGUUAAUGAAAUUUGUACAAAAGUCCUUGGAGUCAAAUCAGGCUACAUCAAGGGUUGUGGUUUUGGCCCUAGAUCUCCACCAUCAAGGGUCUCUCACUCGUCGAUAAAUGAAAUGUCUGAAAAGAACAAAGAGUUGCAAGAACAGCUUCAAGAGACCCAACACCUUGUAGGGAAUCAACAACAAAAAAUUGAUGCACAAAAUGAAGUGAUCCAAAGAUUGGAGGAGCAAACCAAAAAGUUUGAGGAGUUCAUGGCUAACUUUUCCAGGCAACAGCCAUCAAGUUAGUAUCUUUAUUAGAGAACUUAAACAUGGACAAAUAAUUUUUUAGAUCAUCUUGAUUUUGUUAUUGGUUUUAGACUAUUUUUGUUACUCCUUAUGUUAGGAAACACUUUGAUUGUUACUUUGGUUUUAUUAUUAUGAGAUUUAUUAUUGGUU